RNAcentral lists this ribosomal RNA (253 nucleotides) under uncultured bacterium. RNAcentral describes it as "partial 16S ribosomal RNA". It matches the Rfam family "Bacterial small subunit ribosomal RNA", at positions 524 to 776 of the family's 1533-position model. The record is from RNAcentral.
UACGUAGGGUGCAAGCGUUGUCCGGAAUCACUGGGCGUAAAGCGCACGUAGGCGGAUUGCUAAGUCAGGGGUGAAAUCCUGGAGCUCAACUCCAGAACUGCCUUUGAUACUGGCGACCUUGAGUCCGGGAGAGGUGAGUGGAACUGCGAGUGUAGAGGUGAAAUUCGUAGAUAUUCGCAAGAACACCAGUGGCGAAGGCGGCUCACUGGCCCGGUACUGACGCUGAGGUGCGAAAGCGUGGGGAGCAAACAGG